Molecule: small nucleolar RNA, 83 nt
Organism: Otolemur garnettii (small-eared galago)
Lineage: Eukaryota; Metazoa; Chordata; Mammalia; Primates; Galagidae
Source: Ensembl
UCGCCGAUGAUGACAGGACCACUGCGCAGUCUGAGAUCUGGGAACCAGGUGAUGGAGUGUGUUCUCAGAACGGACUGAGGCUG